UCACCUUGAGUUCUUGUAUGAUCAAGCUCCAGAGAGCAUGAGGAGCACCGCUACUGCAUUUUUCUGGUUGGCAAUCUCAAUGGGGAGUUAUACAAGUACCUUUUUGGUGUCAAUUAUUCACAAGUUCAGUGCAGGCCCUGAUGGAUCAAAUUGGCUUCCGGAUAACAAUUUGAACAGGGGAAAAUUGGAGUACCUUUAUUGGCUGAUAACAUUGCUGCAAGUUGCAAACUUGGUGUACUACUUGGUAUGUGCAAAAUUCUACACUUUCAAGCCAAUUCAGGUGCAUGCCCAGGAGGUUGAUUGCUCAGAAGAAGAUGGGAUCGAGCUGAGGAAUCGUGUUUAGAUACUAUAAUCUGAUUUCAAUACAAUAUUACAUGCCUAUGUCUUUUUAGUUGUUGUAGGCUUAGUAGUAUUUAUGGAGGAGUGCUAUGAAUUCCAU
RNAcentral lists this long non-coding RNA (439 nucleotides) under Coffea arabica (coffee). RNAcentral's name for it is "long non-coding RNA (CARA_LNC007957)". The record is from RNAcentral. Lineage: Eukaryota; Viridiplantae; Streptophyta; Magnoliopsida; Gentianales; Rubiaceae.